Molecule: long non-coding RNA, 1093 nt
Organism: Marmota monax (woodchuck)
Lineage: Eukaryota; Metazoa; Chordata; Mammalia; Rodentia; Sciuridae
Exons: 2
Source: RefSeq, a predicted model, not a curated record
CCUGUGGUAUAAAGGGAGCUGGAAAGGCAAGUUAUUAUCUCUGUAAAAUCUUGUUUCUUUACUCUGCAGCAGAGGGACCAUAUUCACCAUGUAGGAGAUGGCCUAUUAAGUACCUUGUCCACGGCUUGGAAUACUCAGCUGGCUAAUUCCUAACUACCUUCAAACAGUCAUUCCUGUAGUCGUUCAUUUUUAUCUCAAACCACAGAUACUGCUUCUACAUCAAUGUGACAUGACACCGGGAUGACACCACCCACUCUCAGUUUAUGGGUCAAGGCGAUUGCCCUUCCACUGGCUGCAAGCGGUCUGUCACCCUUAACAUUACUGGAUUCAACCAAGCCACCUCCAAUACUUCCUAGAGUCCCUGCUACAGGACCAGUGGCUGACACCAAGAAUCUCCUCCAUCUAUGACUGGUGUGAUGCCAUCGAGGACUUGUGGCUUCAAGGAACUUUUAUGGACUUUACCCCUACCACAGUAGUUGUCUGUAGCCACUGAGUGUUAUUUCUGGCUGCCCUGGUGUUCUCAGACCUGUCCCCCGAACAUUCCUCCACUUCCCCUUCUAGGUCUAACGCCGCCCACCAUUAAUCAGGAAGAAGCCAGAGGACUUUAUGCCGUCCCCCGUGUCACUUAAAAAAACAAAAAGGGAGGAAUGUUGGGUGCAGGGCAGGCUGAACAGAUGUUGGCUGCAAGAUAGCCCACACACUCAAACCCCCCUCUGUCUGGUCCUUUAUCACCUGUUUGCCUCAAGUCUGAACAUUCAACCCUGCUUAAGGCUGAACACUUAACACCCCCUUGGGCCAACAAGGCAGCUUGCAGACCCAGAGGCCCCAUUAGAUUUGGGCUAUAAAAACUCCCUCCUGCCAGGCCCCCCUCUCUCUCCCCCUCUCUCUUGCUCUCUCUCUUGCUCUUUCUCUCUCCCUCUCUCUCUUGCUCUUUCUCUCUUGCUCUCUCUCUCUUGCUCUUUAUCUUUCUUACACACGCUCUCUGUCUCUCUCUUGCUCUUGCUCUCUCCCUGUUCAUCUCUUCUCUUUUCUCUCUCUCUCUUUCCUUUCUCUUUGUUGCACUGCUGCAAUAAAGAUCUUUUGGUUGCUCCGA